CUGUCAGGAAGGAGAGCUCUGGGGUCAGCAGGGGAGGAUGGGAUGAAUUGAAUGGGCAAGAAGUCCUGAAGCGCUGCCCUGUCUCAGGGCUUUGGACUCGACUUAAACAUAGGGCCUCUGAUACUUUAUGAUGCUACCAAAGCCUUGUGCGGAAGUUGGACCGCACUGCGCCAAGCUUCUCCAGAUGCAAAUCGUAUGUCGGAAUGCAGCAAGCCAUAUAUUGAUAUAAAGCAAGCGGCAGGUCGGGCUCACAAAGACUUUAAAGUGGACGACAUGAGAUCCCUAUGGUAGCAGGAAAUGAAAGUGAUGAAGUGGGAUUAAAGGAACAGCUCUUAAAGCCACUUACUCCCUUUGGCAGACACAGAGAGCGCUUGAGAAGCUUGUGGUUUAAUUAAUCCCCCUCAGCCAAUAAGAGGAUCACAUAGAAACACUUGUAUUUUCUGUACAUUCACUGCCAGCCGGGAGCUA
This is a long non-coding RNA of Hyla sarda, 468 nucleotides long. RefSeq lists it as uncharacterized. The record is from RefSeq and is a predicted model, not a curated record. The transcript is spliced from 3 exons. Lineage: Eukaryota; Metazoa; Chordata; Amphibia; Anura; Hylidae.